Leptinotarsa decemlineata (Colorado potato beetle) is the source of this 465-nucleotide long non-coding RNA. The record is from RefSeq and is a predicted model, not a curated record. Lineage: Eukaryota; Metazoa; Arthropoda; Insecta; Coleoptera; Chrysomelidae.
AAGUUUCUGGCCGUGUUCCAGAAGUGGAAGCUUAUAUUGAGUGAAUUCACCUUACAAACAUCAAAAUUCUAGUGGUUUGAAAGGAGCUGAUUAUUCACGAAAGUAAAAUGCUUAAACUACGAUACGAUCCGUCAUAUGGCAGCCGCUACCAAUAUCUUCCAGUACCUUCUUCCAAAUUCUACUGGGAUUACAAUACUUAUGACCCUCUUGACCUAUACGAGCCUACAAGAUAUCGGCUCUGGUAUCCCCAUUAUUGGCCUUCCCAUUUACUGGACUAUGUCCCCACCAGAUAUUCUCUAAGACAGUUGAGAUUGAGAAAUCACCUUUACAGCUUGUGAUCAACUGUUGUGGUGUUCAUUGGAAGAUAUAAAAGAUAUUUUGAUUGAUUAUUGUUCCUGCCUUCAUCGAUACUGUUUAUGAAUGUGAUAAAGUUGAGAUAAUAAAUAUUAUUUUUCGACAAAAUAA